Long non-coding RNA from Lagopus muta (rock ptarmigan), 2861 nucleotides. RefSeq lists it as uncharacterized. NCBI's taxonomy places the organism in Eukaryota, Metazoa, Chordata, Aves, Galliformes, Phasianidae. The record is from RefSeq and is a predicted model, not a curated record. The transcript is spliced from 8 exons.
AAGGAAAGUGUAUACCUUAUCUCUGCAGUGUGGCAUCUCUGUGAUAUGCCAGUAUAUUUGGCAACAUGCAAGCAGUUUCUGACUCCUGAGAGCAUGAGUCCAAUGCAAAUUGUAAACACCAGCCCCAUCUCUAUAAUUCUCAUAGACUACAGAUAAAACAGAAGUGCAGUUUGCUGUGCCUGCUGGGUAAAUGCAGGGCAGUGAACCACAACAUGUUUGCUGUCUGCUCCAACUGGGAAGAGGAUAUCAGUAAACUGUCUGAGACUUGGGGAAAAGAAGGACCAACUGUUUGUUAGUGGAAGUGAUAUGCCCUGCAAAUAAAAGGAGCUGAUUGAUUCCUUUUGGAUGAGAUUUGGACAUUGAUUGAAAGUGCAGAAGAAGAGUAACAUCACCUUGGGUUUACUUCUGAGGAAUGCACUAAAUAGAUACUCCACGCUUUAACCCCAGUGACUCCAACCAAAAGUUGAUGUACAGAUCUACAAAGAACAGCCUGGAAAAGAAUAGCACAGGGGAACACAGGCUUUUCUUCCUCAGGCCCAUCCUGAAGGCUGUAAUGCCUGGCUUUUUCCAUCCUUGCUGAUAAUAUGGUGAUACCAUGAGUGUGAAUUUUAGAUCAGCAGAUAUAAUUAAUGAUGGACUGAAAAUCAGCAUCUACAUAUCAAGACCCAGGAGCAAUACAUUAUGCAUCCAGUUUUCACCAAGCAAUGUUGAAAUAAUGCCUAAGACUGUUGGAGAGAAUGGACGCAGUAUUGUGUGACUGUCUCAAGUCUGUGGAAUUAACCCCUACUCAGACUGGAGAAGGAAUACAUUUCCUGGAUUCUUGAUCUCUCUUUAAGCCUCUGUGCCAGGGUGCCUUGCUAUUAUGCUUUUAAAGGACAGAGAUAUCGAGGUCCAAAACAAACACUAUUGUUGUUCAAUAUCCUUAAAGAAAAGACAAAGAAAAUCAGCACUUCAGUAAUAUCAGCUUUUGGUCAACAGGAAACAUGCACCCAGAUUAAGCUGUAUUAUGCCAGCUCACCUGCUCUUCUGGAGCAUUAAGUCUUCAACUUUGUUAUUCCAACACAUGGCAUAGAAGAGAGAGCAGAUGAGAAAGGAUGAGAGGUGAAACAAGUGCAGACAAGAGAGAAGUGGAGGUAGAAGUCAAAACCAGGAGGAGAAUGGGGAAGACAAGAAACCUCACAUCCUGGAGAUGACCUGGCACUAGAACAUCUAUGCACCUGAUCUAAACAUGCCUAAUCUUAGCCUAAUUGCAGCCAAAAAAGAAGAGACAGAUAUUUUGAAGUGGAAUACCACUACCCCCAGCAAACACAUGCAGGAGUACUGAGAUGUCUAAAAUAAGUAUCAAAUAAUUGAGAAAAAGACCUGGUGAUAAUCUGAUGUCAGAAGAGAUGGAAUGAGAAACUUCAGUCCAUGGAGUGAGUAGGAAUUUCCACUGCUGGUAAAAUAAGAGUGUUGUUUCUGUAACACUUACCAAUAUCCCUGAAGUGAACAUUAUUCUCCACUUACCCAUGGUAAAGAAAACAUGUUUUGUUUUGUUGUUAUUGUUCCAUUUAAAUUGGAAUACAGGACAUUAACAGAGUGGUAUUUUAUGUUUAUCCAAAAAGAAACCAAAACAAACAAACAGCAGUCAAAAAUAUCCAAAUUUUAUUUAAAUAUUCAAUUCCUUUGUCUCAUGCAUGGCGUGAAUUUCAAAAGAAGUUUAUCAGUUGAAGAAAUUUCCUUUGUAGAUCCUCAGUAAAUUAUAACAGGCCUUAACUGUGUACCAGCAUUUUAAAUCCCACUAAGCUUCAUUCAUUCAUUCAUAAAGUUAGAUGUCUGCACAUAUGUAUAAAUAUACAGGGAUUCACAGAACUAUUUUCACUCCUACAAACAGUAAGUUACAUAGGAGGUAAUUUUUGCUCUACUCUUAAAAACAUUUGUUUCAAAAGAAAAAGCAACAUAUUCACAAAACAAUAUGUUUAAUCUGUAACUUCAAAGUUGGUAGUUUCUUAAUAAAAAGAUCCUCUGGGUUUAAGGAAAAAUUUUCACUUUAACCUUGUCCCAUCAGAUAUCCCAGACCUGUAGGAAAGCCUGUUGGAACCUGUUGCUCAGGAGCCAGCUGACGGAGGAAGGGAUGCCAGCCAUCUUUAAGUCAAAAGUCAAAGGAAAGGCAAAGUAUGAAGUUCUUGUGCCCGUGCCUGGAAAGACCUGUCUGUAUUUUUCCACUGUUUGGUGUUAGCUGAGAUUAAAAACUAAUGAGAAAAUUAUUUACAGCAGGAGCAUCAUCACCAUGGUAAUCUGAUACAGAACUUUUCACUUUGAAUUUGCUGAGUGAAACUGAAACUGGGGAAGUACCAUCUGCCUGCCCUGUCGGCUUCUAUAGGUGGGAUGUGCCCGGCUGGGUGAGCCCUCGCAGCCCCAAGUGCCACCCCACAAAGCACCUCAUGACUGCUGAGGAGAGACACUGUGAGAUCACCAGGGUGUGCAAUAGACAUGUCUCUCUCUUAUCUGCAGGAGCUUUGAGGUUUUCACCAAGGAUUUCAUGUGGUGUCUUUUGCUAACUGUGGAGUCCCAAAGAGCCCCACAUACUCUGUGUCUCCCUUGGGAAGCAUGACUUCCACUGCAUGCCAAAGACUGCUACGUGCUCUCGUCCUGUUCCUCUGCCUUGUGAAUUGGAAAUAGGAGGAACGACUCCUUCCCUAUGUUGUACCAUCAAUACAAUAAAGCAUUGACCUUGGUCCUCGGUCCUGGCACUGAGUAGUUACCUACCUGCUGUUGGAGCACAGGGUGGAACGGGCUGCAGGCGACGGAGCCGCCUCGACUUACUUGCUGUGUGGGGAUAUCCUCCGGCUGUGAGCAGGAGCAUCUCAGGAGAGCCCGUG